GCGAACGGGUGAGUAACACGUGGGCAAUCUGCCCUUCACUCUGGGACAAGCCCUGGAAACGGGGUCUAAUACCGGAUAACACUCCUGCCUGCAUGGGUGGGGGUUAAAAGCUCCGGCGGUGAAGGAUGAGCCCGCGGCCUAUCAGCUUGUUGGUGAGGUAGUGGCUCACCAAGGCGACGACGGGUAGCCGGCCUGAGAGGGCGACCGGCCACACUGGGACUGAGACACGGCCCAGACUCCUACGGGAGGCAGCAGUGGGGAAUAUUGCACAAUGGGCGAAAGCCUGAUGCAGCGACGCCGCGUGAGGGAUGACGGCCUUCGGGUUGUAAACCUCUUUCAGCAGGGAAGAAGCGAGAGUGACGGUACCUGCAGAAGAAGCGCCGGCUAACUACGUGCCAGCAGCCGCGGUAAUACGUAGGGCGCAAGCGUUGUCCGGAAUUAUUGGGCGUAAAGAGCUCGUAGGCGGCUUGUCACGUCGGGUGUGAAAGCCCGGGGCUUAACCCCGGGUCUGCAUUCGAUACGGGCUAGCUAGAGUGUGGUAGGGGAGAUCGGAAUUCCUGGUGUAGCGGUGAAAUGCGCAGAUAUCAGGAGGAACACCGGUGGCGAAGGCGGAUCUCUGGGCCAUUACUGACGCUGAGGAGCGAAAGCGUGGGGAGCGAACAGGAUUAGAUACCCUGGUAGUCCA
This 685-nucleotide ribosomal RNA is filed under the name Streptomyces sp. W4. Its description in RNAcentral is "bacterial SSU rRNA". It matches the Rfam family "Bacterial small subunit ribosomal RNA", at positions 98 to 797 of the family's 1533-position model. The record is from RNAcentral. Lineage: Bacteria; Bacillati; Actinomycetota; Actinomycetes; Kitasatosporales; Streptomycetaceae.